CCUAAAGUUAGUUGGUAAGCUCCAACUAAGGCUAAAUAUCACUGUGAGACCGAUAGCAAACAAGUACCGUGAGGGAAAGUUGCAAAGCACUUUGAAGAGAGAGUGCAAUAGGACGUGAAACCGCUUGCAGGGAAACAGAUGGACCCACGAAGUCCUGUGUAUCACUGGGUACUUACUUCGGUUUGUAUUCAGUUCUAUACACGCGGAGCUCUGACUUGUAAGGCACUACAAGUAGUUGAACUAUAAUGUAGUGAUGUACAGUUGUAUACUUCGAGUAUAUGUAUGUACCUCUCACUGCAAUCAAUUGCUUGCUUUACAAGUUGGUUUUACUUCACUUUACUUAACUGUAUAGAAGUAUAUAGCCAGGUUGCUUUGUGGUGUGAAUAGAGACGUGUGUGGGCAAGGAGGAAAGGUGACAAACUUGGGUCUACUCUUCAUUGAGUAUUCCUCGGGUCUUUGCUACUUCUCACUCACUAACUAUCACACCACUUGCAAGCAAUUCCAGAGUAAGUAGGUCGGCAUCCAUCUGA
Molecule: ribosomal RNA, 530 nt
Filed under: Piona rotundoides
Lineage: Eukaryota; Metazoa; Arthropoda; Arachnida; Trombidiformes; Pionidae
Description: partial 28S ribosomal RNA
Rfam family: Eukaryotic large subunit ribosomal RNA
Source: RNAcentral